Molecule: ribosomal RNA, 400 nt
Filed under: uncultured bacterium
Lineage: Bacteria
Description: bacterial SSU rRNA
Rfam family: Bacterial small subunit ribosomal RNA
Source: RNAcentral
AACGAACGCUGGCGGCAGGCCUAACACAUGCAAGUCGAGCGCCCAGCAAUGGGAGCGGCGGACGGGUGAGUAACGCGUGGGAAUUUUUCCUGGAGUACGGAACAACCGAGGGAAACUUCGGCUAAUACCGUAUGAUGUCUAGCGACCAAAGAUUUAUCGCUCUGGGGUAAGCCCGCGUCAGAUUAGGUAGUUGGUGGGGUAACGGCCUACCAAGCCUGCGAUCUGUAGCUGGUCUGAGAGGACGAUCAGCCACACUGGGACUGAGACACGGCCCAGACUCCUACGGGAGGCAGCAGUGGGGAAUCUUGCGCAAUGGGCGAAAGCCUGACGCAGCCAUGCCGCGUGAGUGAAGAAGGUCUUAGGAUUGUAAAGCUCUUUCGCUCGUGACGAUGAUGACGGU